Molecule: ribosomal RNA, 253 nt
Filed under: uncultured bacterium
Lineage: Bacteria
Description: partial 16S ribosomal RNA
Rfam family: Bacterial small subunit ribosomal RNA
Source: RNAcentral
UACGUAGGUGGCAAGCGUUGUCCGGAUUUACUGGGCGUAAAGAGCGCGCAGGCGGUCGUUCAAGUCGCGUGUGAAAGCCCCCGGCUCGACUGGGGAGGGUCACGCGAUACUGAUCGACUCGAAGGCAGGAGAGGGAAGUGGAAUUCCCGGUGUAGUGGUGAAAUGCGUAGAUAUCGGGAGGAACACCAGUGGCGAAGGCGACUACCUGGCCUGUUCUUGACGCUGAGGCGCGAAAGCUAGGGGAGCAAACGGG